GAGAAGCACAGACUGGAAAUAAAGCUUCAGAAGGCCGAUCUUACCACUACCAGACUCAACCAAGACAUCAAGCGAAUCACCAUAUUGAAGGAGACGUGUCAGUCAGAAUUGUCAAAGCUGAUAACAAAUGUCACUGUGUCUCCUUCUACCCCCGCUCCUCUAAAUGUUACAUCAACCUCCAGGACACCUGUACUAGAGUAGUCCAAAACAAAUAGCUCUUGAUACAAAGAGAAGGAGGAUAUAUGAGUGUCAUAACAAGA
Molecule: long non-coding RNA, 260 nt
Organism: Haliotis rubra (blacklip abalone)
Lineage: Eukaryota; Metazoa; Mollusca; Gastropoda; Lepetellida; Haliotidae
Exons: 4
Source: RefSeq, a predicted model, not a curated record